GUGUUCGAAAAGAAAGAGAUGUAGUAUCAUAUGGGAAGCUAAUCAAAGCAGUUGUACUAGAAGUUUUUACUCAUGGGAAAAAGGUCCAAUGCAAUGUGUUUGGAAAUGCUUGUGAUCUGUUGGAAUAUGAUAACUUACAAAAAUAUCCAAGAUCUCCGCUGAUUGUCCUCGAGUCUUUUAAAAUCAAAGCAAUUGAAGGUGGAGUAAUUCUACAGAAUGUGAUAAAUGUCUCUAGGUUAUUCAUUAAUCCCGACAUUCCUGAGUCUGUUGAGUUCCUAA
Molecule: non-coding RNA, 279 nt
Organism: Arachis ipaensis
Lineage: Eukaryota; Viridiplantae; Streptophyta; Magnoliopsida; Fabales; Fabaceae
Source: RefSeq, a predicted model, not a curated record